UGGGGAAUUUUGGACAAUGGGGGCAACCCUGAUCCAGCCAUGCCGCGUGAGUGAAGAAGGCCUUCGGGUUGUAAAGCUCUUUCGGCCGGGAAGAAAUCGUGCAGGCUAAUACCCUGUAUGGAUGACGGUACCGGAAUAAGAAGCACCGGCUAACUACGUGCCAGCAGCCGCGGUAAUACGUAGGGUGCGAGCGUUAAUCGGAAUUACUGGGCGUAAAGCGUGCGCAGGCGGUUUUGUAAGACAGGCGUGAAAUCCCCGGGCUCAACCUGGGAACUGCACUUGUGACUGCAAGACUAGAGUACGGCAGAAGGGGGUGGAAUUCCACGUGUAGCAGUGAAAUGCGUAGAGAUGUGGAGGAACACCAAUGGCGAAGGCAGCCCCCUGGGUCGAUACUGACGCUCAUGCACGAAAGCGUGGGGAGCAAACAG
RNAcentral lists this ribosomal RNA (428 nucleotides) under uncultured bacterium. RNAcentral describes it as "bacterial SSU rRNA". It matches the Rfam family "Bacterial small subunit ribosomal RNA", at positions 355 to 775 of the family's 1533-position model. The record is from RNAcentral.